Molecule: long non-coding RNA, 1702 nt
Organism: Bos indicus x Bos taurus (hybrid cattle)
Lineage: Eukaryota; Metazoa; Chordata; Mammalia; Artiodactyla; Bovidae
Source: Ensembl
GAUCCCUGGUCCAGAAGAUCCCACGUGCCGCACAGCAGCUAAGCCCGUGCCCCCCAGCUCGUGAGUCAGAACCACCGAGUCCACGUGCUGCGGCUGGAAGCCCGUGCGCCCAGAGCCUGUGCUCUAAACAAGAAAAGUCACUGCAGCGAGAAGCCUGUGCCGCGCAGUAAGGAAGAGCCCCCGCUCUCACGACUAGACACAAGCCUGUGUGCACGAACAGAGACCCGCUGCAAACACAACUCAGGGAGGCGGCAAGCGUGGCUUUAACCCGGGCGCCCGGAAGCCUCUGGUUCCUGUGGGGCUGGGAGCAGACACCGGCUGACCGCCUCGGCGAGGAGCACGAACAGCGGUCAUCUGGGCCUGGGCCCCCUCCCGUCCCAUCCAGCAAACGUCUCAAGUCCAGGGGAGCCACAGCUUAUCACAGAGGGAGCACAGAAGGGAUGCUAUACGUGUCUGGGCUGCCAAAUUGGGGUUCAAAACGACCUCAGGGGCCAGGCAGAGAAAACUGAGCAAAGAUCAGUGGAAACGAAGGACAGUCCUGUAGCCAGUCCGAAAAGGCAAGCGUGCAAGGGCGAGUGGGAAGACGGAGCCCAGCCAGCAGCGUCAGUGCCCGCCGUGACGAUGGACGUCGCCGCCGCUAAGGGAAAAGUCUCUAAGCUCUUGGAAAGGAAAAAAAAAGACAUCAGAAAUUUAAAAAUGUAAUAGAAGCAUUAGAAGAUAAAUUAAGGACAUUUACCAGAGAGUAGGAUAAAAAAGACAAGGAAAAAAGGGAAGAACAGAUGAGAAAUUCAUCCCAACAGCUGAAUCACAGGAGUUUUAGAACGACAAUGAAGGAUAUAAAAUAACUCAAGAGAAUACUCCAGAAUCAUAGAACGUGAGCUUUCACACUGAAAGGGCCACCAAGUGGCCAACACGACAGGUGUGACCUGGUGACAUUCUUGAUGCUGAAGACAAAGAAUUCCUACCAGGUCACAUGCAAAGAAGGCGUGGCCUCCACCGCAGCCCUGAAAGCUAGAAGACAAUGGAGCCAUGCUGUCGAAGUUUUGAGGCAAAAAUGACUUCUUAUCUAGGAUCCCACACUUAAUCAAGCAGGAGUUGGACGUUUCAGACAUGCAUGGUUCAAAAAAAUUUCCCUUUCAUGCACUCUCAGAAGUCUCCGAAAAUAUAAGUCAUCAAAAAGAGGGAAGGAAGCAAAAAAAUGAGAAGACAUGAGAUCCAGAAACAGGUGAUCCAAGACAAGAAAGAGGCAAGGGAAUUUCGGGCUGACGGUAAGGGGUGGGGGUUCCUGAGACGGCAGCCACGCACCCCUGCCCCCAGAGCGGGAGGGAAGGAAGCCUCCCAGGGCACGCUGAGAGAUCUGGACACCUGGCAGGGUUGAGAGGUAAUUAGUGCUACAUCUUAGAAACCUAAAUGUACGAAAAAAACAAGAAUCAAACCGGAGAGAGACGCUGGAAAGGAAAAGCCAUCCUAGCUGACCCCAGGGCUUAGCUCUGACGUAAGGGCAAGAACACAGCUAUGGGUCUACCCGAAACUACACUCCGCCUGUGGUGGGAGCAAGGGAGCGUGGGGAGCGCACACGCACGUAGGGGAGAAGAGGGGGCCGAGUCCUCACGUCCUGGCGGGGCGUCAACAGAUAACCCCUGAACUGAAAAGCCAGGAAGCAGCAGUACAAACCUGCUGCUGAUACGUACAGACAGGUGUU